Molecule: ribosomal RNA, 438 nt
Filed under: uncultured bacterium
Lineage: Bacteria
Description: bacterial SSU rRNA
Rfam family: Bacterial small subunit ribosomal RNA
Source: RNAcentral
UGCAAGUCGAGGGGAAACGGCAUCAAGCGCUUGCGCCUGAUGGACGUCGACCGGCGCACGGGUGAGUAACGCGUAUCCAACCUGCCCCACACUAAGGGAUAACCCGCAGAAAUGUGGACUAAUACCUUAUAUUUUCCACCAAGGGCAUCGUCGAUGGAACAAAGAUUUAUCGGUAUGGGAUGGGGAUGCGUCCGAUUAGGUUGUUGGCGGGGUAACGGCCCACCAAGCCUUCGAUCGGUAGGGGUUCUGAGAGGAAGGUCCCCCACAUAGGAACUGAGACACGGUCCUAACUCCUACGGGAGGCAGCAGUGAGGAAUAUUGGUCAAUGGGCGAUAGCCUGAACCAGCCAAGUAGCGUGCAGGAAGACGGCCCUAUGGGUUGUAAACUGCUUUUAUGCGGGGAUAAAGGAGUCCACGUGUGGAUUUUUGCAGGUACCGC